GGGCUGUUGGUCUAGCGGUAUGAUUCUCGCUUUGGGUUGUCUUAAUCGGGCACACUAAAAUAUGCGAGAGGUCCCGGGUUCAAUCCCCGGACAGCCCC
Chaetomidium leptoderma is the source of this 98-nucleotide non-coding RNA. The record is from the annotation of a GenBank genome assembly. NCBI's taxonomy places the organism in Eukaryota, Fungi, Ascomycota, Sordariomycetes, Sordariales, Chaetomiaceae.